Long non-coding RNA from Diceros bicornis minor, 4009 nucleotides. RefSeq lists it as uncharacterized. Lineage: Eukaryota; Metazoa; Chordata; Mammalia; Perissodactyla; Rhinocerotidae. The record is from RefSeq and is a predicted model, not a curated record. The transcript has 3 exons.
AAUUUUUUUAUUAUGUUCCAGUGGUGCACACACAGGCUAAAAUCUCAAAGAGCCAUUCCCGUUGAGAAGAUGGAUAUAAAUGCUGCACGGUGAGAGAGAGAAGGAAGGGAGCUGUGUUGAAGGUGGGACAGCCAAGAUUUGCCAGACCGACAUCUUCUCGGUCUCUUCUUACCCCCCAGAACAGCAUAUACCAGCUUUCUUUUCUGGAGAUCAGCCAAUCUUACCUUCUCCUUAGAGGCUGUCACUCAAGGAGUCUGCCUCAAGAAGUUGCCAUCAUGGUGAAAUGUAGCUCAGAAAGUACCCUUUCCAGAGGCAGGGGAACAAAAAGGACAAUCCAGAGGUGUUGAGGCAAGCACUUGCAGAUUCUUCUUCUGCACUCGCAAAUCAAACCACUUCCACGUCCCACGGAGAAGAGUAAGUGAUGAUUGUGAAGUGUAAUCAUGAGUGUGUAAAUCACCUGGGGUUCUUGUUAAAUUAUAGAUAUUGAUGAAGUAGGUCUUGACCAAGACCUUAGAUUUUACAUUUCUAACAAGCUCCCAGGAAAUUCUUAGGCUGCUGGUCCAUUGAGUAGUUAGCGGAUAGAGAGCCCAGGUUGGUUACCGUAGCAAAGCUUUCCAAUGUUAAAGCAGGGUCCGUGAUUCUAACUAUAACAUCUUGGUUGAAUAGGGUGCUCUAGUUCUCCGAUUGCCUGAAAAGUUCAGGACCAAGGACAGUUAUUUUUUGCACAUUAUAACUGGCUAUGCUCACAAUAACCAGUAAUUGCUGAAAUCUUGAUAAAUGUGCCCCAAUAUAACCAUAAGAGGAUAAUUCAAUUAAACACUCAUAAAACAUCCAGACUUAGAAAUGUUGAUUCCAACUCUUUCAUGCUUUUUAUAAAAUCUCCCUUCGGGCUCUAGAGGGUUUAAAUAUUUUUAAAUUAGUUCAUUCUGCCCCCAUAGGUCUUCAUUUCUUCAUUUGUUUUAUUUGAUCACAUUAGCUUAUAAGCUGCCUCAUAUAUUUUUGGGAUGUGUUUGGGGACAGAAACACAAUAAUGAAAUUAACAUUUCCUCCUCCAAAAGUUGGGCCUCAAGGUGGACUGUGCUUCUCUGUCAUCUUUACUUUCUUCAUCACAAUGCUUUGCACAUAAUAGACCCUUAAUAAGUAUUUCUUGAUUGAUGUAUACAUUUGAAAUUUUUCAUUACUUGUGUGGAUCUGAAAUAUUAGGUUUCCCAAAUCUAGUUUUUCUUUCUCUCUUUAGAACUUUACUCAAUUCUUUCUUCUUCAAAGUGCUAGUAAGUAUAUCAAGUUUAUCCUUUCAGCUUGGAGGUGAUAAUUUCCCAUUCUGGGGGAGAUGGAUGCUAUGCCCCAACAUUUGUGCACUUAAUUAAAGCAGAAAAAAUUCUUAAUUAGUGUAAUAAAUGCAAUUAAAAAUGUCUCUAAUGGAGAAACUGCUGCUCAAUUUUUAGAACAACAGAGAGGUAAUGGCCAGAUGGGUUAAUUAAUCAGAGUUAACUCUCAUUUGAUGAAUACUUUGAGGUUCUCUGAUACAAUGAGAUUAUACAAAUACCAUACAUUGUUGUUAUUAUAUCCUCAUAGAAUAUCAUCUGGACCCUACUUCCUUAGGCCUCUCCACUUAACAAAGUUUUUAUUUUCAAAGCUGACCUUUGCUGUCUCCAGGUAUAAUUCCCUUCUAUCUAUAUCUCAAAAAUAACUUAAGCAUGCCACAAUGAAAGAAGGUAAAUGUCAAUUUUCAAAAUUUUAAGAGAUUUUUUACACAUUGAGCAAUGCAUUACUUUACUUCUUUUGAGAGAGAAACAUCUUUUUCUGUCACUGUUGUUAAACUCUGUGAGUGACAACAUUGUUUUGCGAGUAGAAAAGACUACCAUUCUCCACGUUGUGCCAAGUCUCAAAUUUCCAUCAGCCAAUGAUUUUUGAGCAUCUACCGUAUAUCUUCUGUGAAAGAAGUUUUGGUUACUUUUGAUGACUUUUAUCUAUACACUUUGUAAAAAUGAUUGAGCCUCUUUCUCAUUCCUGUGUACCAUAUUUCUUGUUGGAUCAAAUUUCUGGUUGGAAAAAGAAUCAACUAGUGCCUGAGAUUUAAAUAAUUAGAGAAACUAACUCUGGCUCCAAAAGCACAAUCAAUGACCUCCUCUCCUGUGUGUGCACACUGAUAAUAUCCUAGUGGUGCUGAGUUGUGGGAGAAAACAAAGGUCUGUGGCCGCCAUUGCUCUUUGUCAAGGCUUUACACAAAAGUACUGACUGUGCUAUAAUAGAGAAUCAGCUUGCCAAAACAUUACAAGAGGCUGAAGCUUCUAACUCACUGAAACUCUACUUAAGUUAUUAUAUGCUUGGAUGGCUGCAAGAACAACAGAUAGCUGUGUAAUUAAUGCAAAGCAUGUCAGCCUCCCUCACUUCCUUCUCCUCUCCAUGCAGACCAGUAACGAGGCGCCUCCUGACACACAAUCACAACGCACUGACAAACCAUCUUGGUGUGUGAAAGAGACACAGAAAAAUCCAAGAACCGUGACAAUGCUAGCAAGCACGGUUCCUCUUUGCCAGAAAUUUCCCAUCAUAGCUGUUCAUGAGGCAGAGACUCCUGGCUAGAGGAGUCAUUAUCUGCUGGGCUACAGACCAACUUCCAGGUCUGAAGGACUCUUAUGUUAUCACAUUGAAAGCAAAAGUUAUCUUUUGAAGAAAGAAGAAAAAGAAGGAUUUAACUCUUUCUCCUUAUGUUAGCAUUCCUGAGAAAGUAUUAAAAAUAAAUGAUUCUCUGAAACUAUUACACGUUUUACUGCUUAUUUUCGCCACUGUAUGAUGAACAUGUACCCACCAAGAAAUUAGAUAGUUUCUUUCAUGUAGCUUCAUCCAACAGAUUAAAAAAGAUAAUAAUGUUAAAUUUUAUUAUUAAUAAAAAUUGUGGAAUUUCACCUGAUAUACCAUGAAAUGUAAUCCUCACCACUGUGCUUUAUUAGGUCUGUCCAUCAGCAUCAUCAUUGAUUGACAUGCCCAGUGCACUGUUCCCUUACAUAAUUGUGCUAGUUGCUACAGGUAAUGUUUGAAAGCAUGAAACACAAUCUUUGACCCUGUACUUUAUCUUAAUAUAAUUAGUGAAAUAAAAUUUCUAUGUAAAAAGAUGCAGAAUAAUUGAAUGCAAUAAAAUGUAAUUCCAAAUGAAAAAUACAGACCAAGAUAUAUAAUGGGAGAUCAAUGAUUUAGAAAGGAUUACCAUUGGAGAGGGCAAAACAGGUACAAAUCCUCCAGGAAUGGUAUACUGCAGAGUAAGGAAAUUCUAGACCAGAGUAUAUGUGAGAGAGCAAGAAAACUCAACAGUUAAAAAAAAAUAACCACUAAGUAUGUCCUCACAGGUAGUAAUGUGAUAGCAAUAAUACUCUGCACUGGGAACAGAAUUGGUUAUCAAAGGAGGGAAGACAUAACAAAUAAAAGUUAUAGUUAAAGACUUUUGAAACUUGUGUUCUAGAUUUUUAGAGAAGCUUAACAUGAGAAACAAUAGUGAAUGAUUUAGCAAAAAAGAUAGUAGGGCUAAUUCCUACAUUACAUGGUAUAAAUGCUAGCCUUCAUAAGAAUUCACAUUAAAGAAGUAUCAUUGGAAACUGGAACAAUCCAGUAGAGUUUCAUGAAGGUGAUAGCUCUUGACUUGCAUUUUGACUAUUAGUUAAUAUUUGAAUUUUUAGAGAGAGGAGAAUAAAUACCAGAUGGAAGUAAAGCGUAAUAUAAGCCAUGAAGUUGGGAUUAGAUAUUGCAUGUUUAUGGGACAGUAAGGAACUUAAUUCAAUUAAAGACACAAUGCAAUAGGGAAUAGCGAUCUACUGAGGUUUAUAAAAUAAUUGAUGAAAAGUGUUAUUUUAGGUAGAUUAAUCAAGAGCAGUGGUUCCAUGCUUUGAUUUUUAGACUCCAGAUAGGCUCUGAAAAUAAAGCUGCAUGUUCAUGUGGCUCUAUGUACACAGUGAAACAUGUAUCUACUAAAUAAUGAAUAUAUUUGCAAUGUAUAUUUCCUUUAAAUAUGUAUAAG